GCUUUCGUGGAUGAACCGGUACAUCACCCACCGCAAAUAGAGCUGUCCGGUGCCUACGUGGAUGGGGGGUGGGGGUUCGAGUCCCCCCGAAGGCA
This is a non-coding RNA of Mycena rebaudengoi, 95 nucleotides long. The record is from the annotation of a GenBank genome assembly. NCBI's taxonomy places the organism in Eukaryota, Fungi, Basidiomycota, Agaricomycetes, Agaricales, Mycenaceae.